AUUGAACGCUGGCGGCAUGCCUUACACAUGCAAGUCGAACGGCAGCACGGGUGCUUGCACCUGGUGGCGAGUGGCGAACGGGUGAGUAAUACAUCGGAACGUACCUUAUCGUGGGGGAUAACGCAGCGAAAGCUGUGCUAAUACCGCAUACGCCCUGAGGGGGAAAGCGGGGGAUCGAAAGACCUCGCGCGAUUAGAGCGGCCGAUGCCUGAUUAGCUUGUUGGUGGGGUAAAGGCCCACCGAGGCGACGAUCAGUAGCUGGUCUGAGAGGACGAUCAGCCACACUGGGACUGAGACACGGCCCAGACUCCUACGGGAGGCAGCAGUGGGGAAUUUUGGACAAUGGGGGAAACCCUGAUCCAGCAAUGCCGCGUGAGUGAAGAAGGCCUUCGGGUUGUAAAGCUCUUUUGUCAGGGAAGAAACACCGGCUCUAACACAGUCCGGGAAUGACGGUACCUGAAGAAUAAGCACCGGCUAACUACGUGCCAGCCGCCGCAGUAA
This 501-nucleotide ribosomal RNA is filed under the name uncultured bacterium. Its description in RNAcentral is "partial 16S ribosomal RNA". It matches the Rfam family "Bacterial small subunit ribosomal RNA", at positions 29 to 523 of the family's 1533-position model. The record is from RNAcentral.